UGGAGUAUAGCAAAAUGGUAAGGCAUCAAUUUUUGGUACAGGCAUGCAAAGGUUUGAAUCCUUUUACUCGAU
This is a non-coding RNA of Cucumis melo (muskmelon), 72 nucleotides long. Lineage: Eukaryota; Viridiplantae; Streptophyta; Magnoliopsida; Cucurbitales; Cucurbitaceae. The record is from Rfam.